RNAcentral lists this ribosomal RNA (1003 nucleotides) under Aigialus grandis. Its description in RNAcentral is "SSU rRNA". It matches the Rfam family "Eukaryotic small subunit ribosomal RNA", at positions 84 to 1096 of the family's 1831-position model. The record is from RNAcentral. Lineage: Eukaryota; Fungi; Ascomycota; Dothideomycetes; Pleosporales; Aigialaceae.
AAACUGCGAAUGGCUCAUUAAAUCAGUUAUCGUUUAUUUGAUAGUACCUUACUACUUGGAUAACCGUGGUAAUUCUAGAGCUAAUACAUGCCAAAAACCCCGACUUCGGGAGGGGUGUAUUUAUUAGAUAAAAAACCAAUGCCCUCUGGGCUCUUUGGUGAUUCAUGAUAACUUCGCGGAUCGCAUGGCCUUGCGCCGGCGACGGUUCAUUCAAAUUUCUGCCCUAUCAACUUUCGAUGGUAAGGUAUUGGCUUACCAUGGUCUCAACGGGUAACGGGGGAUUAGGGUUCGACUCCGGAGAGGGAGCCUGAGAAACGGCUACCACAUCCAAGGAAGGCAGCAGGCGCGCAAAUUACCCAAUCCCGACACGGGGAGGUAGUGACAAUAAAUACUGAUACAGGGCUCUUUUGGGUCUUGUAAUCGGAAUGAGUACAAUUUAAAUCCCUUAACGAGGAACAAUUGGAGGGCAAGUCUGGUGCCAGCAGCCGCGGUAAUUCCAGCUCCAAUAGCGUAUAUUAAAGUUGUUGCAGUUAAAAAGCUCGUAGUUGAACCUUGGGCCUGGCUGGCUGGUCCGCCUCACCGCGUGCACUGGCAUGGCCGGGCCUUUCCUCCUGGAGAGCCCCAUGCCCUUCACUGGGCGUGUGGGGGAACCAGGACUUUUACUUUGAAAAAAUUAGAGUGUUCAAAGCAGGCCUUUGCUCGAAUACAUUAGCAUGGAAUAAUGAAAUAGGACGUGCGGUCCUAUUUUGUUGGUUUCUAGGACCGCCGUAAUGAUUAAUAGGGACAGUCGGGGGCAUCCGUAUUCAAUUGUCAGAGGUGAAAUUCUUGGAUUUAUUGAAGACGAACUACUGCGAAAGCAUUUGCCAAGGAUGUUUUCAUUAAUCAGUGAACGAAAGUUAGGGGAUCGAAGACGAUCAGAUACCGUCGUAGUCUUAACCGUAAACUAUGCCGACUAGGGAUCGGGCGAUGUUAUUAUCUUGACUCGCUCGGCACCUUACGAGAA